AGAGUGUAUCAGCUUGAGAGUGCAAGAGGGGAGAUGGAGCAAGAUGGAAGAAUAGAAGAAGACUCUACUGCUUGUCCCCCUGACAAGGACACCAAUGGCACAAAAAAGCACCUUUGUGAGAAACAAAAAUCAGUUUAACAUCUGGAAGGGAUGAAGAGAAGUCAGCUUUGUGGCGAUCAACAAUGUCCACACUACUGGCAACCAAUGCUCAGCUCAACUGAUUAUAUUAAAAAACUCACUGAGCUGAUACCCUGUGAUUAUCACUCUAGGACAUGGA
This is a long non-coding RNA of Homo sapiens (human), 277 nucleotides long. RefSeq lists it as uncharacterized. Lineage: Eukaryota; Metazoa; Chordata; Mammalia; Primates; Hominidae. The transcript is spliced from 3 exons. The record is from RefSeq and is a predicted model, not a curated record.